Molecule: small nuclear RNA, 106 nt
Filed under: Mustela putorius furo (domestic ferret)
Lineage: Eukaryota; Metazoa; Chordata; Mammalia; Carnivora; Mustelidae
Source: RNAcentral
AUGUUCACUUUAGCAGCACACAUAGUAAAAUUGAAAUGAUACAGAGAAGAUUAGCAUGGUCCCUCCACAGGAUGGCACACAAAUUCAUGAAGCAUUUGUAUUUUUG